RNAcentral lists this ribosomal RNA (285 nucleotides) under Salmonella enterica. RNAcentral describes it as "partial 16S ribosomal RNA". It matches the Rfam family "Bacterial small subunit ribosomal RNA", at positions 1 to 282 of the family's 1533-position model. Lineage: Bacteria; Pseudomonadati; Pseudomonadota; Gammaproteobacteria; Enterobacterales; Enterobacteriaceae. The record is from RNAcentral. RNAcentral also lists the same sequence under 2 other names.
AAAUUGAAGAGUUUGAUCAUGGCUCAGAUUGAACGCUGGCGGCAGGCCUAACACAUGCAAGUCGAACGGUAACAGGAAGCAGCUUGCUGCUUCGCUGACGAGUGGCGGACGGGUGAGUAAUGUCUGGGAAACUGCCUGAUGGAGGGGGAUAACUACUGGAAACGGUGGCUAAUACCGCAUAACGUCGCAAGACCAAAGAGGGGGACCUUCGGGCCUCUUGCCAUCAGAUGUGCCCAGAUGGGAUUAGCUUGUUGGUGAGGUAACGGCUCACCAAGGCGACGAUCC